Molecule: microRNA precursor, 123 nt
Filed under: Brassica napus (rape)
Lineage: Eukaryota; Viridiplantae; Streptophyta; Magnoliopsida; Brassicales; Brassicaceae
Also listed under: 1 other name
Description: MIR9563 microRNA precursor family
Rfam family: MIR9563 microRNA precursor family
Source: Rfam by way of RNAcentral
AGAAUAUAAGAAACCGUUUCUUAACUUUUAAUUAUAAAAAUAAGAACCAGAUUUUAAAUAAAAUAUUUAAGAACUGGUUCUUAACUUUUUUAGUUAAAAGUUAAGAGACGGCUAUUAUAUUCC